GUGCUCACUUCAGCAGCAAAUACACUAAAAUUGGAAGAGCAUAAGAUUAGCAUAGCCCCUAUGCAAAAGUGACAUGCAAAUUUGUGAAGCAUUCCAUUUUUUU
Small nuclear RNA from Callithrix jacchus (white-tufted-ear marmoset), 103 nucleotides. Lineage: Eukaryota; Metazoa; Chordata; Mammalia; Primates; Cebidae. The record is from Ensembl.